AGCAGUGGGGAAUUUUGGACAAUGGGCGCAAGCCUGAUCCAGCAAUACCGCGUGAGUGAAGAAGGCCUUCGGGUUGUAAAGCUCUUUUGUCAGGGAAGAAACGGCUGAGGAUAAUACCUUUGGCUAAUGACGGUACCUGAAGAAUAAGCACCGGCUAACUACGUGCCAGCAGCCGCGGUAAUACGUAGGGUGCAAGCGUUAAUCGGAAUUACUGGGCGUAGAGCGUGCGCAGGCGGUUUUGUAAGUCUGACGUGAAAUCCCCGAGCUUAACUUGGGGAAUUGCGUUGGAGACUGCAAGGCUAGAGUCUGGCAGAGGGGGGUAGAAUUCCACGUGUAGCAGUGAAAUGCGUAGAGAUGUGGAGGACACCGAUGGCGAGCAGCCCCUGGGUCAGACUGACGCUCAUG
RNAcentral lists this ribosomal RNA (405 nucleotides) under uncultured bacterium. RNAcentral describes it as "bacterial SSU rRNA". It matches the Rfam family "Bacterial small subunit ribosomal RNA", at positions 350 to 751 of the family's 1533-position model. The record is from RNAcentral.